Molecule: ribosomal RNA, 496 nt
Filed under: uncultured bacterium
Lineage: Bacteria
Description: partial 16S ribosomal RNA
Rfam family: Bacterial small subunit ribosomal RNA
Source: RNAcentral
GAUGAACGCUGGCGGCGUGCCUAAUACAUGCAAGUCGAGCGAACAGAUGAGGAGCUUGCUCCUCUGACGUUAGCGGCGGACGGGUGAGUAACACGUGGAUAACCUACCUAUAAGACUGGGAUAACUUCGGGAAACCGGAGCUAAUACCGGAUAAUAUAUUGAACCGCAUGGUUCAAUAGUGAAAGACGGUUUUGCUGUCACUUAUAGAUGGAUCCGCGCCGCAUUAGCUAGUUGGUAAGGUAACGGCUUACCAAGGCAACGAUGCGUAGCCGACCUGAGAGGGGGUAGCGCCACUGUGAAAAUGACCCACGACCCAGGAACAGAGGGGAGGCACCAACUGGGAAGCUUCCGAAAGGGGGGAAAGCUUGAAGAAUGCACGCAAGCCUGAUGAAGAAGGUCCGCGUGUGGGAAAACGCUUUUUUUGGGGAAAACAAAAUGCGCAAGUAACUAAGCCUGUGUGACGGGAACCAAUAAAGAAGCCCCGGCUAACUAACUG